UGCCAGCAGCCGCGGUAAAACGUAGGGGGCGAGCGUUGUCCGGAAUUACUGGGCGUAAAGGGCGUGUAGGCGGCCCGUGAAGUCAGGAGUGAAAACUCGGGGCUCAACCUCGAGAUUGCUUUUGAAACCAGCGGGCUUGAGUGCAGGAGAGGAAAGUGGAAUUCCCAGUGUAGCGGUGAAAUGCGUAGAUAUUGGGAGGAACACCAGUGGCGAAAGCGGCUUUCUGGCCUGUAACUGACGCUGAGGCGCGAAAGCGUGGGGAGCAAACAGGAUUAGAUACCCUGGUAGUCCACGCCGUAAACGAUGGGUGCUAAGUGUUGGGGGUAUCGACCCCCUCAGUGCUGUAGUUAACGCAAUAAGCACCCCGCCUGGGGAGUACGGUCGCAAGACUGAAACUCAAAGGAAUUGACGGGGGCCCGCACAAGC
This 426-nucleotide ribosomal RNA is filed under the name uncultured bacterium. RNAcentral describes it as "bacterial SSU rRNA". It matches the Rfam family "Bacterial small subunit ribosomal RNA", at positions 506 to 930 of the family's 1533-position model. The record is from RNAcentral.